This 851-nucleotide ribosomal RNA is filed under the name uncultured Chloroflexota bacterium. Its description in RNAcentral is "bacterial SSU rRNA". It matches the Rfam family "Bacterial small subunit ribosomal RNA", at positions 28 to 895 of the family's 1533-position model. The record is from RNAcentral. Lineage: Bacteria; Bacillati; Chloroflexota.
AAUAAACGUUGGCGGUGCGCCUUAUGCAUGCAAGUCGAACGGGGUUAUGGUCUUCGGAUUGUAACCUAGUGGCGAACGGCUGAGUAACGCGUAAGCAACCUGCCUUGGAGUAGGAAAUAACUUGCCGAAAGGCGAGCUAAUGUCCUAGUGGUAAUGAAGCAAAUGCUUGGUUAUUAAAGCCUUAGGGUGCUCCUAGAGGGGCUUGCGUCUGAUUAGCUAGUUGGCAGGGUAAUGGCCUACCAAAGCGAUGAUCAGUAGCUGGUCUGAGAGGAUGGUCAGCCAGAUGGGGACUGGGACACGGCCCCAACUCCUACGGGAGGCAGCAGCAAGGAAUUUUGGGCAAUGAGCGAAAGCUUGACCCAGCGACACCGCGUGAGGGAAGAAGGCCUUCGGGUUGUAAACCUCUUUUCUUGGGGAAGAAUUUUGACGGUACCCAAGGAAUAAGCCUCGGCUAACUACGUGCCAGCAGCCGCGGUAAUACGUAGGAGGCGAACGUUAUUCGGAUUUACUGGGCGUAAAGGGAGCGCAGGCGGUUCCUUAAGUCAGAUGUGAAAUCUUCUGACUCAAUCAGAAGGCGUCAUUUGAUACUGGGGGACUUGAGAGCAACAGAGGGGAAAUGGAAUCCCCGGUGUAGCGGUGAAGUGCGUAGAUAUUGGGGAGAACACCAGUGGCGAAGGCGAUUUCCCAGGUUGUUUCUGACGCUGAGGCUCGAAAGCGUGGGGAGCGAAGCGGAUUAGAUACCCGCGUAGUCCACGCCCUAAACGGUGGACACUAGAUAUAGGAGGUAUCGACCCCUUCUGUGUCGAAGCUAACGCCUUAAGUGUCCCGCCUGGGGAGACGGCCGCAAGGCU